GAUGAACGCUGGCGGCGUGCCUAAUACAUGCAAGUCGAGCGAACGGACGAGAAGCUUGCUUCUCUGAUGUUAGCGGCGGACGGGUGAGUAACACGUGGAUAACCUACCUAUAAGACUGGGAUAACUUCGGGAAACCGGAGCUAAUACCGGAUAAUAUUUUGAACCGCAUGGUUCAAAAGUGAAAGACGGUCUUGCUGUCACUUAUAGAUGGAUCCGCGCUGCAUUAGCUAGUUGGUAAGGUAACGGCUUACCAAGGCAACGAUGCAUAGCCGACCUGAGAGGGUGAUCGCCCACCCUGGAACUGAGACACGGUCCAUACUCCUACGGGAGGCAGCAGUAGGGAAUCUUCCGCAAUGGGCGAAAGCCUGACGGAGCAACGCCGCGUGAGUGAUGAAGGUCUUCGGAUCGUAAAACUCUGUUAUUAGGGAAGAACAUAUGUGUAAGUAACUGUGCACAUCUUGACGGUACCUAAUCAGAAAGCCACGGCUAACUACGUG
Molecule: ribosomal RNA, 497 nt
Filed under: uncultured bacterium
Lineage: Bacteria
Description: partial 16S ribosomal RNA
Rfam family: Bacterial small subunit ribosomal RNA
Source: RNAcentral